Molecule: ribosomal RNA, 676 nt
Filed under: Phellinus sp. BAB-5117
Lineage: Eukaryota; Fungi; Basidiomycota; Agaricomycetes; Hymenochaetales; Hymenochaetaceae
Description: eukaryotic LSU rRNA
Rfam family: 5.8S ribosomal RNA (bases 259-412)
Source: RNAcentral
AUGAAAUCGAGAGCCUGUUGCUGGUGCGGAAACGCACAUCGUGCACGGCUUCCGUGUUCAAUCCAUUUCAACCCCCUUGUGCACCUUAUGGAAGUCAGUAGUCUUUCUCUUUUUGUUUGCCGGUUGUGUGUGGGAACCUCUUUCUGUUCACUUGGCCGGCGAGGAGAAAUAGAGGGUCGAAAGCUUUGACUUUUCUGUUAAACGCUUUGUAUGUCUUGUGGAACGUAUUAGCUCCUUUGUAGGGGCGAAAUAAAUACCAACUUUCAACAACGGAUCUCUUGGCUCUCGCAUCGAUGAAGAACGCAGCGAAAUGCGAUAAGUAAUGUGAAUUGCAGAAUUCAGUGAAUCAUCGAAUCUUUGAACGCCCCUUGCGCCCCUUGGUAUUCCGAGGGGCAUGCCUGUUUGAGUGUCAUGUUAAUCUCAAACCCCUUGUCUUUUUUGUUGACUUGGUCGGUUUGGACUUGGAGGUGUUGCUGGCGUGCGUCGGCUCCUCUUAAUUGCCUUAGCUGGACUUUGGUUCGCAUUUGACGGUGUUAUAGUAAAGUGUUCGCCGGGCGUGCUUGCCUAACGGUUCUGCUUCUAAUCGUCUUCGGACAACUCUGUUCAUUUUGACCUUUGACCUCAAAUUAGGUAGGACUACCGGCUGAACUUAAGCAUAUCUAUAAGCGGAGGAAUA